UUGGCUCAGGACGAACGCUGGCGGCAGGCCUAACACAUGCAAGUCGAGCGGCAGCGGGAAAGUAGCUUGCUACUUUUGCCGGCGAGCGGCGGACGGGUGAGUAAUGCCUGGGAAAUUGCCCAGUCGAGGGGGAUAACAGUUGGAAACGACUGCUAAUACCGCAUACGCCCUACGGGGGAAAGCAGGGGACCUUCGGGCCUUGCGCGAUUGGAUAUGCCCAGGUGGGAUUAGCUAGUUGGUGAGGUAAUGGCUCACCAAGGCGACGAUCCCUAGCUGGUCUGAGAGGAUGAUCAGCCACACUGGAACUGAGACACGGUCCAGACUCCUACGGGAGGCAGCAGUAGG
RNAcentral lists this ribosomal RNA (345 nucleotides) under Aeromonas hydrophila. RNAcentral describes it as "bacterial SSU rRNA". It matches the Rfam family "Bacterial small subunit ribosomal RNA", at positions 19 to 358 of the family's 1533-position model. Lineage: Bacteria; Pseudomonadati; Pseudomonadota; Gammaproteobacteria; Aeromonadales; Aeromonadaceae. The record is from RNAcentral.